UACGUAGGGGGCUAGCGUUGUCCGGAAUCAUUGGGCGUAAAGCGCGUGUAGGCGGCCCGGUAAGUCCGCUGUGAAAGUCGGGGGCUCAACCCUCGAAAGCCGGUGGAUACUGUCGGGCUCGAGUGCGGAAGAGGCGAGUGGAAUUCCUGGUGUAUCGGUGAAAUGCGCAGAUAUCAGGAGGAACACCGAUUGCGAAGGCAGCUCGCUGGGACGUUACUGACGCUGAGACGCGAAAGCGUGGGGAGCAAGCAGG
This 253-nucleotide ribosomal RNA is filed under the name uncultured bacterium. RNAcentral's name for it is "partial 16S ribosomal RNA". It matches the Rfam family "Bacterial small subunit ribosomal RNA", at positions 524 to 776 of the family's 1533-position model. The record is from RNAcentral.